CCUACGGGUGGCAGCAGUGAGGAAUAUUGGUCAAUGGCCGGAAGGCUGAACCAGCCAUGCCGCGUGAAGGUCAGUGCCCUAUGGGCGUUAAACUUCUUUUGUGCGGGAGCAAUAAUGGUCACGUGUGGCCAGACGAGAGUACCGUACGAAUAAGCAUCGGCUAACUCCGUGCCAGCAGCCGCGGUAAUACGGGGGAUACAAGCGUUUUCCGGAUUUAUUGGGUUUAAAGGGUGCGUAGGCUGUGAGGUAAGUCAGCGGUGAAAUGCCCCCGCUCAACGGGGUGAAGUGCCAUUGAUACUGCCUGGCUGGAAUGCGGAUGCCGUGGGAGGAAUGUGUGGUGUAGCGGUGAAAUGCAUAGAUAGCACACAGAACACCGAUUGCGAAGGCAUCUCACGAAUCCGCGAUUGACGCUGAUGCACGAAAGCGUGGGUAUCAAACAGGAUUAGAUACCCGGGUAGUC
Molecule: ribosomal RNA, 460 nt
Filed under: uncultured bacterium
Lineage: Bacteria
Description: partial 16S ribosomal RNA
Rfam family: Bacterial small subunit ribosomal RNA
Source: RNAcentral